Molecule: ribosomal RNA, 2805 nt
Filed under: Triticum aestivum (bread wheat)
Lineage: Eukaryota; Viridiplantae; Streptophyta; Magnoliopsida; Poales; Poaceae
Description: partial small subunit ribosomal RNA
Source: RNAcentral
AUGGCGGUGGUGAGCGCCGCGCACGGCGCCUUUGGGCCCCUGCUCGGGAAGCUCACGGCCUUGCUCGCCGACGAGUGCGGCCGGCUGAAAGGGGUCCGCCGCGAGAUCCGCUCCCUCAGAUCCGAGCUCGCCAGCAUGCACGCCGCGCUCAAGGAGUACACCAAGCUGGACGACCCCAACCACCAGGUCAAGGCCUGGAUCUCGCUGGUCAGGGAGCUGGCCUACGACACCGAGGACGUCUUCGACAAGUUCAUCCACCACCUCGGCGACAGCCAAGACCAUGGCGGAUUCAAGGACUUGUUCCGCAAGACCGUUCGCCGUCUCAAGACACUUGGAGCCAGGCACGGAAUCGCCGGCGAGAUCCACGACCUCAAGGACCGCAUCAGGCAGGUGAAAGAGCUCAAGGAUUGUUACAAGCUGCUGAAUGAUGCUCCUUCGAGCACCGCCGGCCCUCCAGCCGUGGAUCCGCGGCUGCACGCACUUUUUGCCGAUGAGGCACACCUUGUGGGCGUCGACGGUCCAAGAGACCAUCUUGCCAAGUGGAUGUUGGAAGAAGCAAACACAUCGCCCAAACAUUGCAAGGUCUUGUCUAUUGUUGGGUUUGGUGGUUUGGGCAAAACAACGCUGGCAAAUGAGGUUUGCCGCAAGAUUCAAGGGAAGUUUGAUUGCAAGGCUUUCGUGUCGGUCUCGCAAAAACCAGAUAUAAAGAAGAUUAUCAAGGAUGUGAUCUCUCAAGUGUCAUGCCAAGGUGGAUCCACAAAAGAUACCAGUGAUUGGGAUGAAAUGAAGUAUAUUUCAGAGCUAAGAGUACUACUACAAAAUAAAAGGUAUCUCAUCAUCAUCGAUGAUGUAUGGUCUACGCAAGCAUGGCAAGCUAUCAAGUGUGCUUUUCCAGAGAAUAAUUGUUCUAGCAGAAUUAUAGCUACUACACGCAUCAUUGAAGUAGCAAAGUCAUGUUGUCCAGACGAUGAUGACCGUGUGUAUCAAUUGGAAGCCCUAAGUGAUCUCCACUCCAGAAGAUUGUUUUUCAAAAGAUUAUUUGGCUCUGAGGAACAUUGCCCUGACAUGUUGAAGGAAGUUUCUAAUAAAAUCCUAAAGAAAUGUGGAGGCCUACCAUUGGCAAUUAUCAGCAUAUCUGGUUUGCUAGCAAACCGACCAGCCAUCAAGGAAGAAUGGGAGAAGGUUAAGAGGUCAAUUGGUACUGCACUGGAGAAAACUAACAGUCUAGAGGGCAUGAGUAGCAUACUAUCUCUUAGCUACAAUGAUCUUGCACCUCGUCUCAAGACUUGCUUGCUGUACCUAAGUUUGUUUCCCGAAGACCAUGUGAUUGACAGAGAUAGGCUAGUGAGGCGAUGGAUCGCAGAAGGCUUCAUCUCUGAAUAUCGUGGACAGAGCAAGCAAGAGGUUGCGGAGACUUACUUCUAUGAGCUGAUCAAUAAAAGCAUGGUCCAACCGGUGGGCAUUUGGUAUGAUGGAAAGGUCCAUGCCUGUCGAGUCCAUGAUAUGAUGCUCGAAAUUAUUAUUUCAAAAUCAGCUGAAGAUAAUUUUACCACUGUGGUAGGUGGAGGUCAAACUAGUUUGGCCAAUCAUCAAGGUUCAAUUCGGCGGCUAUCAAUCCAGCACAUUGACAAGAAACUUGCAUCUGAACUGGCAAAUGUAGAUCUAAGCCAUGUUCGAACUUUGAUAGUAAUGCCAUCAUGUUGCGUCACACACUUGCCCAGCCUUGAUCGGUUUGAAGCUUUACGUGUUCUGGAUUUUGAAGGUUGUGGGGAUUUAAAGGACUAUGAUAUGAAAGGAAUGGAAAAAUUAUUCCAGCUAAAGUACCUCAGCUUUAGGGGCACAGGUAUAUCAAAGCUGCCAUCAGGGAUCGUCAUGCUAGGUAAUCUAGAGACACUAGAUCUUAGGAAUACACAUGUGCGUGAGUUGCCUGCUGGAAUUACUCGGCUCACUACACUACAACACCUAAUUGGAUAUCUGAACAAACUACCAAACGGGAUUGGGGGCAUGAGGAAUUUACAGGAGAUGCCAAUAUUUGUUAUUAUCUCGCAAGAAACAGAUGUGUUGGAGGAUCUCCGGAACCUGACAAGUUUGGAGGAACUCUAUGUGGAUCUUGGUGAUGAAGUCUCUUGCGAGGACAAGAGAUGUGAACAAGAGGCGUUCCUCUCCUCACUGUGCAAGCUUGGCACCUGCAAACUCUGUGAUUUGGAAAUACGAGCAUACCGUGGUUCCCUCGACUUCUUAGAUUCCUGGUCGCCUCUGCCAUCUUCUCUUCAAAGGUUUUCGGCGACCAGCCCCGAUUCGUUGACAAAUGUUCCAAAGUGGAUUACACCAGCACUCACCAACCUUGCCAACCUGAGCAUCAGCUUAACUGAACUGACGGAAGAUGGGCUGCUUGCUCUUAGGAAGCUCCCAUCCUUACUUCGCCUGACACUACGGCCAUCAAAGAAGUUUUUUGGCACAGUCCAAGCCACUUCUUUCCCAAACCUGAAGGUGCUUUACUUUGGAAAACCUGAACAAUUAUAUGUUUCGUUCGUGAAAGAGUCUGCACCCAAGCUUGAGGAACUUAUCAACAUGCCAUUCAGUGUGUCGGCUGCAAAAGCUGAUAAAUUCUAUUUAGGCAUACAUCAUCUCCCAUGUCUCAAAUUAGCUCACAUAGUGCUUGAUAAGAAAGAGGCGACACGGUCAGAAUGCAAGGCUGCUGCUGCUGCGAUCAGGAAAGAAGCAGGUGCCAAUUCCAACCACCCUGCAGUUUAUUUUGAGGGGGAACCAGCGGAAGAGACUGGUGGUAUCGCUGAUGAGGAUUAA